This 2240-nucleotide long non-coding RNA is filed under the name Homo sapiens (human). RNAcentral's name for it is "HSALNT0106818". Lineage: Eukaryota; Metazoa; Chordata; Mammalia; Primates; Hominidae. The record is from RNAcentral.
CUCAUAAUCAAUGUCUCUGUGAGGAAAAAUAUCAAAGAUUUCUUAAGGAUCCUUCAGCAGUUCAUCUCUCCAAAGGAGAUACUUCUGUUCUGCACUGGCACUGUCUCAUUGUCACUCAUCUACUGCUUUAUCCACAGCAACAUGCCAAACAGGGAAUCUCAUGGGGAAGGAGAAGGCAGAAAGGCAGCUCAUUUCCAAGAAUCCUAUGACAAUUGUUUCUCACUGCUUCCAGAAACUUCGAACAGCCAAUUUCACAGCAUUGUUUUUUUUUUUGUUGUUGUUGCUGUUUAAAUACAGUGCACUCACCCACAGAAACAUUCAUUUCAUCACUCCACUCAUCUAUCCAUGAAAUAUUUGAGCAACUACCAGGCACUAUGUUAGAAGCUAGAAGUACAAAGAAGAAUUUGAUACAAGAUUGUAACUACCAAUGAGAACAAGGCAUUAGUUCACUGCUGUAUUCUCAGCAUCUAGACCCAUGCCUGGAACAUGGUAGGUGUUCUGUCACUGCAAUGUUGAAUAAAUAAAUGAAUGCAUGGUCCUGGCUUCAAGAAUUCACAACUUAGAAAGAGAAACAGAUUUAUGAACAUCAUCAAAUGUAUCCGAGUGAAGUGAUAGUAAUAUGAAGAGAAUAUUAGGAAAGCCAGAAACUAAAUAUGAAUCAAGGAAAAAUAUUGCAAGAUCCCUACUGUAAACCUUCUUUCUUAUUAAUUUUAAAGAAAAUUGCAUCAAAAACAAAGGGCUGACAGUUGCAGUUCCAUGCAUUUCAAAGCUUGAGGAAGGAAGAUGAAAAGGGGAAGAAAACAAAAGGAAAAAUACAGGUAUACAGUAGACAUGAUUUUAUAAGCAAGGAUUUUGAAUCAUUUAUAAAUUGGUUGUUCCACCAUUUCCCAGGCUUAUUGUUUACUAUCAUUACAAGACAAGACGUGAGGCCCAGUCAUGCUACUCCUUUGUGCAUAUCACAUACUCAGAGGGUAGAAAGGAUAUAUGUCCCCUCAUGGAAAGACUCUUCCUAUAAAGUAUUCAAUGCACUUGACAUUAUUCACUCUUCAAUCUUAACCUGAAUCUUAUUAUGUGGGGUCUGUUAUUUCCAUUCUACUAAUGAGGAAUCUGAGGCGAAGAGAGACAGCGACUUUCCUAAAGUCACACAGCUAGUAAAGGGUAUAACCAGGAAGGCUUGUUACAGAGAUGAGUGAGCCAGGCAUGGUGGUAAAUCCUGGAGACAAAAUGGCAAAUAAAGUGGAUCUGAUUCCUGUUUUCCUAGAGCCUCUCACCUGGACUCAACUGAAAUUGAAUUUUGAGGAGCAUAGAUCAAUGGAACAGAAGAGAGAACCGAGAAAUAAGGCCACACACCUAAGACCAUCUGAUCUUGGACAAAGCUGACAAAAAUAAGUAAUGGGGAAAAGACUCCCUAUCCAGUAGAUGGUGCUGGGAUAACUGACUAGCCAUAUGCAGAAGAUUGAGGCUAGACCCCUUCCCCACACCAUAUACAGAAAUCAACUCUAGAUGCUUAAACACUUAAAUGUGAAACCCAAAACUAUAAAAACCCUAGAAGACAACAUAGGCAAUACCAUUUUGGACAUAAGAACAGGCAAAGAUUGCACGGCAAAGAUAAAAAAGGUAAUUGCAACAAAAGCAAAAAUUGACAAAUGGGAUCUAAUUAAACUAAAGAGCAUCUAUACAGCAAAGGAAACUAUCAACAGAGUAAAGAGACAACCUACAGAAUGGAGGAAAAUGUUUGCAAACUGUGAAUUUGACAAAGGUCUAAUUUCCAGCAUCCAUAAGGAACUUGAACAAAUUUCAUGGACUAUUUUAAAAAGUGUGUCAUUAAUAUAAAACUAUUUAUAUUAGCAGUAUUUAAUCAUUAACACCUGUAAAGAAAAAGAAAAAUAGAAGGUAAAUGUUCUUACUGAGAUAGCAGAGCUUUAAGAUUCAUUUUCAUUUUAAGUUUUAUUUUUCCAGUGUAUUAACAUUCAGAGGUCUGUUAUACUAACAUUAAUUAUUAAUGUUUUCAUUUCCAUAAUAGUUAAGAGCUUUUUCAAGCACUCAUGUCUGUAAAAAAUAUUUUAAAGUUUUUUUUUGUCGUAGCAGGAAAAAAAUAGAAAAAUAUAGUUUGUUCUUUUUAAUUGCUGAGUAGUAUUCCAUGGUAAGAUGUACCAUAGUUUCCUUGACCGUUCAAACAUUGAAGGACAUUUGGACUGUUUCCAGUUUCUGGCUAUUAUAAAUAAAGCUAUGAACAUUCG